Molecule: non-coding RNA, 229 nt
Filed under: Polyozosia dispersa
Lineage: Eukaryota; Fungi; Ascomycota; Lecanoromycetes; Lecanorales; Lecanoraceae
Source: RNAcentral
CUACCAUGGUGGCAACGGGUGAGCACGUUGCCCUGUAGGACGCAAGACCGUCGGGCGCGUCGCGGCGGCACCGGCGACACGCUGGCUCAGAUGAGGUCUCCGGGGCCGACUCUCGGUACGCCACGGGAGCCGCCCGAACGCAUGCAAAGCGGUGGGCCUUCCCAGGGGGCUUUUGGCACAUGCUACCGCCGACUGCGGUGCCGGCAAAGUGAACGGGGAAUUAGGGUUC